RNAcentral lists this long non-coding RNA (226 nucleotides) under Helianthus annuus (common sunflower). RNAcentral's name for it is "hypothetical non coding rna". The record is from RNAcentral. Lineage: Eukaryota; Viridiplantae; Streptophyta; Magnoliopsida; Asterales; Asteraceae.
GAAGAUCCAAAUCGUGUGCGUAAUCAUCCAAAUCGUGCAUAUGCUUCGAGAAUCAUAUGUGAAGAUCAAUGAAUCGUCUGGAUUACAAGAUCAAUCGAUAUGUCGUUAAUGCGUCGAACACUUGAAUCAUUUGGUUAAAUUUCGUGCGAAUUGGUACAUUUAGGGUUAAAUCUGGUGUGAAUCGGUAGAUUUAGGGUUUUGAAUGUGUGAAUAGGUGCAACUAUCU